This 656-nucleotide ribosomal RNA is filed under the name uncultured Enterobacter sp. RNAcentral's name for it is "bacterial SSU rRNA". It matches the Rfam family "Bacterial small subunit ribosomal RNA", at positions 835 to 1491 of the family's 1533-position model. Lineage: Bacteria; Pseudomonadati; Pseudomonadota; Gammaproteobacteria; Enterobacterales; Enterobacteriaceae. The record is from RNAcentral.
AGGCGUGGCUUCCGGAGCUAACGCGUUAAGUCGACCGCCUGGGGAGUACGGCCGCAAGGUUAAAACUCAAAUGAAUUGACGGGGGCCCGCACAAGCGGUGGAGCAUGUGGUUUAAUUCGAUGCAACGCGAAGAACCUUACCUACUCUUGACAUCCAGAGAACUUACCAGAGAUGCAUUGGUGCCUUCGGGAACUCUGAGACAGGUGCUGCAUGGCUGUCGUCAGCUCGUGUUGUGAAAUGUUGGGUUAAGUCCCGCAACGAGCGCAACCCUUAUCCUUUGUUGCCAGCGGUUAGGCCGGGAACUCAAAGGAGACUGCCAGUGAUAAACUGGAGGAAGGUGGGGAUGACGUCAAGUCAUCAUGGCCCUUACGAGUAGGGCUACACACGUGCUACAAUGGCGCAUACAAAGAGAAGCGACCUCGCGAGAGCAAGCGGACCUCAUAAAGUGCGUCGUAGUCCGGAUUGGAGUCUGCAACUCGACUCCAUGAAGUCGGAAUCGCUAGUAAUCGUGGAUCAGAAUGCCACGGUGAAUACGUUCCCGGGCCUUGUACACACCGCCCGUCACACCAUGGGAGUGGGUUGCAAAAGAAGUAGGUAGCUUAACCUUCGGGAGGGCGCUUACCACUUUGUGAUUCAUGACUGGGGUGAAGUCGUAC